CAAACGUGUGCUCAACCGAUCUUUAAUCAUUAUAAAGGAAGAUGCUACCACAUCGAGCCUGUUGCUAGAGAAGAAAAUCAAUAUAUAUGUUAUGUAACUUACCCUUUAGACCUUUUUGAAGAAGGUUUUGUUACUAAUAUGUUUACUUCCAUUGUGGGUAAUGUA
Rhodamnia argentea is the source of this 165-nucleotide long non-coding RNA. RefSeq lists it as uncharacterized. The record is from RefSeq and is a predicted model, not a curated record. NCBI's taxonomy places the organism in Eukaryota, Viridiplantae, Streptophyta, Magnoliopsida, Myrtales, Myrtaceae. The transcript is spliced from 3 exons.